This 780-nucleotide ribosomal RNA is filed under the name Triticum aestivum (bread wheat). RNAcentral's name for it is "partial small subunit ribosomal RNA". Lineage: Eukaryota; Viridiplantae; Streptophyta; Magnoliopsida; Poales; Poaceae. The record is from RNAcentral.
AUGGAAGUGGUGAACCGCUCCGUGAUGGUGUCUAGAUUGGAUCUGGUGGGCCAGCAAGGCAUGUAUUUCGAUGCUUGGAGUAAUAGUUAUAGCUUCACCAUCACCAUCACCAUGCCAUCAUGCUGCCGGAACUCAUCCACUACCUCGCUGGCUUGCGUGUCACUUGGGAGCCUCCAAGAUCUUGUGGAGUUGAACCAAGGAGUUCGUAAGGGAAAGGAGAUCGCCUACUUUGUGAAGAUCUACCCUGAGUUGCUUCUUCGUGGACCCUUCACGGGUGCAGCCCUCCAUGGACCCGCACAGCCGUUACCCUCUAUGGGAUGGUGGAUGUGUCUACUUUGGAGAGAAAGGAAUGGAUUCUUGAUAGGUUGCAAAUUUCUUUUUCAUGAUAUGACAGGUUAUUUCAAGGGUUGCAAAUUUCUUCCGAAGCUUAAUAAUGAGAUACCAACUGAAAGAAGCAUUACAUAUAAAGAAAUAUUUAGUAGCUUGGAGAACUUAGUACUGAUCAUGCCUGGCGAUUUGCUUUUCCAAACUGCUAAAUUUUUUGAGGAUGAUGCAGUCUUGAUGCCUCAGGAAACAACAUGGUUCGGUUAUUAUCUUGAUGGCGCCUUUAAUCAAGUGCUGCCUCCUCAAGAGGAUUCUAAAAAAAUGCUAUGCGUGUAUACAAAGCUAUAUACCGAAGACUGGAUCGGCUUGAGGACUUUGGAUGAGUCUGGGCAUGUUAUGUUUGUGUCGGUGCUAGGAGGCCACCUCCGCAUAUCAAGGAGCGGAAUGAAGAAGUAA